This 479-nucleotide ribosomal RNA is filed under the name uncultured Vibrio sp. Its description in RNAcentral is "bacterial SSU rRNA". It matches the Rfam family "Bacterial small subunit ribosomal RNA", at positions 34 to 516 of the family's 1533-position model. The record is from RNAcentral. Lineage: Bacteria; Pseudomonadati; Pseudomonadota; Gammaproteobacteria; Vibrionales; Vibrionaceae.
CGCGUGGGGCGGAAACGACACUAACAAUCCUUCGGGUGCGUUAAUGGGCGUCGAGCGGCGGACGGGUGAGUAAUGCCUAGGAAAUUGCCUUGAUGUGGGGGAUAACCAUUGGAAACGAUGGCUAAUACCGCAUAAUGCCUACGGGCCAAAGAGGGGGAUCUUCGGACCUCUCGCGUCAAGAUAUGCCUAGGUGGGAUUAGCUAGUUGGUGAGGUAAUGGCUCACCAAGGCGACGAUCCCUAGCUGGUCUGAGAGGAUGAUCAGCCACACUGGAACUGAGACACGGUCCAGACUCCUACGGGAGGCAGCAGUGGGGAAUAUUGCACAAUGGGCGAAAGCCUGAUGCAGCCAUGCCGCGUGUAUGAAGAAGGCCUUCGGGUUGUAAAGUACUUUCAGUUGUGAGGAAAGGGGUAACGUUAAUAGCGUUAUCUCUUGACGUUAGCAACAGAAGAAGCACCGGCUAACUCCGUGCCAGCAGCC